AGUGAACGCUGGCGGUAGGCCUAACACAUGCAAGUCGAACGGCAGCACAGUAAUACCUUUCUCUUUCCGGUUGCGAGUCGCGGACGUGUGACGAAUAUAUCGCAUUCUAUUUUUUCGUGGGUCAUCACGUAGGUAAACUUACGCUAAUACCGCAUACUACCUACCUCUGAAAGCAGCGCAUCUUCGGCCCUUGCGCGAUUGAAUGAGCCGAUGUCGGAUUAGCUAGUUGGCGGGGUAAAGGCCCACCAAGGCGACGAUCCUUAGAUGGUCUGAGAGGAUGAUCAGCCACACUGGAACUGAGAAACGGUCCAGAGUCCUACGGGAGGCAGCAGUGGGGAAUAUUGGACAAUGGGCGGAAGCCUGAUGCAGCAAUAGCGAGUGAGUGAAGAAGGCCUUGGGGUUGUAAAGAAAUUUUGUUGGGGAAGAAAAGAAGGAAGUUAAUACCGUGAUGAUAUGACGGUACCCAAAGAAAAAGCACCGGCUAACUUCGUG
RNAcentral lists this ribosomal RNA (492 nucleotides) under uncultured bacterium. Its description in RNAcentral is "partial 16S ribosomal RNA". It matches the Rfam family "Bacterial small subunit ribosomal RNA", at positions 29 to 507 of the family's 1533-position model. The record is from RNAcentral.